Molecule: ribosomal RNA, 398 nt
Filed under: uncultured eukaryote
Lineage: Eukaryota
Description: SSU rRNA
Rfam family: Eukaryotic small subunit ribosomal RNA
Source: RNAcentral
CCAGCAGCCGCGGUAAUUCCAGCUCCAAUAGCGUAUAUUAAAGUUGUUGCAGUUAAAAAGCUCGUAGUUGAAUUUCAGUCCAGGAUCUGUGGUCCGCCUAACGGUGUGUACUGCUGAUUCUGGACCUCCUUCUGGGGCCCUGAUCUGCUCUUUACGGGGUGGGUCAGUCAUCCAGGACUUUUACUGUGAAAAAAUUAGAGUGUUCAAAGCAGGCUUACGCUUGAAUACAUUAGCAUGGAAUAAUAGAAUAGGACUUUGGUUUUAUUUUGUUGGUUUCUAGGACCGAGGUAAUGAUUAAUAGGGACAGUUGGGGGCAUUAGUAUUUCAUUGUCAGAGGUGAAAUUCUUGGAUUUAUGAAAGACUAACUACUGCGAAAGCAUUUGCCAAGGAUGUUUUCA